This is a long non-coding RNA of Carassius gibelio (silver crucian carp), 2521 nucleotides long. RefSeq lists it as uncharacterized. The transcript has 2 exons. Lineage: Eukaryota; Metazoa; Chordata; Actinopteri; Cypriniformes; Cyprinidae. The record is from RefSeq and is a predicted model, not a curated record.
CCAGGCUCAAAAACCUUUGUAGUCUAAAUUAGAUUUAAACACAGUCAUCUGAAUAGCUAGAUACUGUUAGAGGAAGAAAUAUGGAACAAAUACUAAAUGUAUAUAUAUGUAUAUAUAAAUAUUUUCCAUUUGAAAUGGGUUACUUGUUAGGUAAACUAAAUAGUUGAAAUGUAACUUUAAUUUUGAUUGAGCUCUAGAUCUGUGCAGGUGAGCAGCCAAUCGAGCGUAAUUAGGUCAAGCUGACUCCGCCCACCGAGAGAUGCGGCAUUAGAGAGAGAGAAAAAAACUUGAGAAACAACGUGAAUUAGAAGCUGCGUAAGAUCUUGAUUUAUUUCAUUUUGAGAGAGAACGCAUGUGAAAACCAAACAUUGUAAGUUAUUUUGCAGACAUUUUGUUGAUAAAUAAGUUUUAUUUCAAACUACUCACUUACUUACAUUUUGUUGAUUAUGUGACCGUCGUCACGCUGAAUUCCAGUGGAGUAGGCCAUCAUUGCGUCAUCCGAGAGAAACCUGGAAAAAAACAGAGAAAUAUCAUUAAUACACGAGGGAAUCGGCCAGUUUUGUUAUUUUAGAAAUCUAGAAUCUGGAUUUUUUCAAUUCAUGAAGAUGGCGAGCCAACCGUAAAUCGAUCAGAAACAACUAUCCUUUGUCUUUUUGGACAUCUGUAUCACUUCACUUUCGGCAGGACAUCGCGUCGGAUUUUUUUCUUUUGAGGUUUGAAACAUCUGACAUUUUCAUUUUUCCUUUUGAGCAUUGGAUCACUGAUUUAAAGGAACUGAGGAGACAAUAGAGCUCGGGCGUAGACGUCAUGGAAUGGUGCAUUGUGGGUAACGGCGGCCAUUUUAGAGGUAUCGCAAAGCAGGUUUGUAAUAAGAUAAUAGCCAGUCUCCAGAAAAAGUUAUAGAACGUGACAAAAAAAGUUGCCUAUACCUAUACGGACAAACUUAAUAAUGAAGCCAAAAAACGCUACUUAAAAAAAAAAGAGGUUGUAGGCGGAAUCGAUCCCUAUGAACACAUGAAAGUUUACCAAGCCUCAGUUUCCCUGAUAAUUUAUCCUACCGGGUCUGUGGAGUGAGCGCUUACACCUCCGAUCAAUUUAAAAAUGUCACUUUCACUUUUUAAAAAGUCACUGGAGGCUCACCUGCAGAUCAUAAAUGGAUCUGCAAAUUAAACGUGGAGAAAACAAUCUUUUUCACUAAGGAAAUGUUAACAUUAACCAAGCAUCAGUGGUGACACACACACACACACACACUUAUCAGAUUCUGCGAGCUAUGAAGCUGUCUAUGCGGGUUUGUUGCACUUCAGGAGUAAUUACUCACCUAUCAUAGCCUACUUGCAAAAAUCCACUGUUUUCCUCCGGUAGUUCUGUAAUCCGGUAUAAUAUUGACGAACAUUCACCUCAGACACAACCCACCAUUCACCAAAACAAGACGCCUAACUUCCUAUUUUGAAGUUCGUUCCAGUUUUUUUUUUUUUAAACAAGUUGUUCAAAUUUGUUAAAUACAGUCAGCACAAAAAUAUCAAAAAGCAAAUUAAGUUCAGGAUUGGGUCAAAAGAAAAUGUUUAAACAAAAAAUACAGACACUAAACUGACUCCCUUACUGGCCAAAAACUAGAGAAAACGUAAUGUGUUUGUGUGUGUGUAUGUGAGAGAGAGAGAGAGACCAUACACAACAUGCCUCACCAUAACUAUGUAUUAUAAUAUUAUCGAAGGUGAUGGUUUCCCUCCGUACAGUGGCGACCCAAGCCAUCUGACGCCUCUUGGUGAUUUCAGACACCUUGUGUUUUUUUCCAAGUAGGAAAAUGUUGAAAACUAAUAUGAUUCACGAGGCGUUUGCCCUGUCGAUCAUGAAACCGAUUACAGCAGUUCACAAUACAGCAAUACUGAACCAUUUUCCAAAAAAUAAUCAAAAUUAAUGACCAAAUGACCAACGUUACCUAAUGCCUACUAUACAGUACAUCUACUUCUGUACCGCGAUUCCCACAAUGCAUUGCGACGUGACGCAACGAUCCCGACCUCUAUAUCAUUCUUUAUUGUUCAGACUGACAUUUUGUUUGAACUGUGCAUUCAAGAAUUACUGAUACUGCAUUGAUACGCAUUCAUUUAGACUUUGUUUCGUAUAAACAAGUGUUUACAGUGGACAUUUGUACGUGUGACUAAACACAAGUCCUGACAUUCGUGUUUAUUUUAUAUUUACUGAUCUUGAGUAUACAUUUGAGUUGUGUACAUAAAAAAGGAGAUCAGAAAUUGAAUGUUUAUUACAAUUUAAUUUGCAUUGGAGAGAAGAAUUUUCUAUGUCAAGGGUUAAAUUUCAAAUUCAUUUAGCUUAAUUGGUAAAAAGUAAUAUUUAAAGCAGAUUUAAUAUUUCUUUUUUUGGUUUUAUUUUUUUUUUUUGUUUGUUCUUGUUAUUUUUGCCCUUUAUGCAGUGUCAUUGAUAUUUUUUUUUUUCCCCAACCAGUGUAUCCUAUCAAUCGCGCUUACAAGUAAAUUUUAUCCAAUAUAAAGGUGCGCAUUUACAUCUA